This 654-nucleotide long non-coding RNA is filed under the name Malus domestica (apple). Its description in RNAcentral is "long non-coding RNA (MDOM_LNC018069)". The record is from RNAcentral. Lineage: Eukaryota; Viridiplantae; Streptophyta; Magnoliopsida; Rosales; Rosaceae.
UAGUUUUGCAUUUUAACUUUGUUUAUAUGUUUUUAAGUCAGUUUAGAGGUUUUAGCAAGCCCUCAUAAUCCCCAGUUUAGAACGAUCCCUACUUGCAUUUAUACUACAAUUUGACAACAAGAGGGUUUAAUUUGUGUGUUAAGUUAAUUUUCGCAUCAAAUUUUUGGCGCCGUUGCCGGGGAUUAGCAAUUUUGCUAAUCCCUUGUUAUUUCUUUUUGUUUAUUUUCGUGUCUUUUGUUUUUAGUUACUGACUUUGUUUCUGUUUGUGUCUUUUAUUUUUACUUUUGAUAUUUGAUUUUGUUUUGUUUCCUUGAUUUCAGGUACUAGAGAAGUAAUACAUGGAUUUUUCUACCAUUCAAGCUCAAUUGGCGGAACUUACUUCUCAAUCGUCACAAUAUGCCGAAAGGACCACAACGCAAAGUGUCCCUACAUGUGGUGUGUCCUAUGGGCAAGGAUAUCCAACUCAGCAAUAUUCUCAAUUCGCUACGAAUGAAGAUGCUUGGGGUUAUCAAGGCCAUAGCCAAUCAUGGGACAACAUGUUUUCCAAUGCUUACAAUUCGGAUUGGAGAGAUUCAGAUUACAUAGAACCUCAACAAUUCCAACAAGAUGGAUAUUGGCAGCAAGAAGAGGAGUUCUAUUCAAGACCUAUGCAGC